GACGCUAUGGCCGAGUGGUCCAAGGCGCAGGAGUAAGGUUCCUGUCCUCCGGGGCGUGGGUUCAAAUCCCACUGGCGUCA
RNAcentral lists this transfer RNA (80 nucleotides) under Chloropicon primus. Its description in RNAcentral is "tRNA-Leu (AAG) (tRNA-Leu-AAG-1-1)". It matches the Rfam family "tRNA". Rfam says of the family: Transfer RNA (tRNA) molecules are approximately 80 nucleotides in length. The record is from Rfam by way of RNAcentral. Lineage: Eukaryota; Viridiplantae; Chlorophyta; Chloropicophyceae; Chloropicales; Chloropicaceae.